This 526-nucleotide ribosomal RNA is filed under the name uncultured bacterium. RNAcentral describes it as "bacterial SSU rRNA". It matches the Rfam family "Bacterial small subunit ribosomal RNA", at positions 355 to 896 of the family's 1533-position model. The record is from RNAcentral.
UGGGGAAUCUUGCACAAUGGGCGGAAGCCUGAUGCAGCGACGCCGCGUGCGGGACGAAGGCCUUCGGGCUGUAAACCGCUUUCAGCAGGGACGAGGCGAGAGUGACGGUACCUGCAGAAGAAGCCCCGGCUAACUACGUGCCAGCAGCCGCGGUAAUACGUAGGGGGCAAGCGUUAUCCGGAUUCAUUGGGCGUAAAGCGCGCGUAGGCGGCCAGCCUGGUCGGGAGUCAAAUCCGGGGGCUCAACCCCCGUCCGCUCCCGAUACCGGCCGGCUUGAGUCUGGCAGGGGAAGGCGGAAUUCCCGGUGUAGCGGUGGAAUGCGCAGAUAUCGGGAAGAACACCGGUGGCGAAGGCGGCCUUCUGGGCCACGACUGACGCUGAGGCGCGAAAGCUAGGGGAGCGAACAGGAUUAGAUACCCUGGUAGUCCUAGCCGUAAACGAUGGGCACUAGGUAUGGGGGGAUCGUCCCUCCGUGCCGCAGCCAACGCAUUAAGUGCCCCGCCUGGGGAGUACGGCCGCAAGGCUA